GGCCCAGAUUUGAAGUAGAGUAGAUUAGAAGGAUCAUCUGACCCUACUGAAGUACUCUACUUCAAGUUUAUGCCC
RNAcentral lists this microRNA precursor (75 nucleotides) under Haemonchus placei. Its description in RNAcentral is "mir-5928 microRNA precursor family". It matches the Rfam family "mir-5928 microRNA precursor family". The record is from Rfam by way of RNAcentral. Lineage: Eukaryota; Metazoa; Nematoda; Chromadorea; Rhabditida; Trichostrongylidae.